RNAcentral lists this ribosomal RNA (496 nucleotides) under uncultured bacterium. RNAcentral's name for it is "partial 16S ribosomal RNA". It matches the Rfam family "Bacterial small subunit ribosomal RNA", at positions 899 to 1397 of the family's 1533-position model. The record is from RNAcentral.
ACUCAAAUGAAUUGACGGGGGCCCGCACAAGCGGUGGAGCAUGUGGUUCAAUUCGACGCAACGCGAAGAACCUUACCUGGGCUCGAAGCGCAGUGGAAUCCGGAUGAAAGUUCGGCGCCCGCAAGGGCCGCUGCGGAGGUGCUGCAUGGCUGUCGUCAGCUCGUGUCGUGAGAUGUUGGGUUAAGUCCCGCAACGAGCGCAACCCUUGUCCUUAGUUGCCAUCCCGCAAGGGGGCACUCUAAGGAAACUGUCGGUCAAAAGCCGGAGGAAGGUGGGGAUGACGUCAAGUCCUCAUGGCCUUUAUGUCCAGGGCUACACACGUGCUACAAUGGGCGGUACAAAGCGUCGCAAACCCGCGAGGGGGAGCCAAUCGCAAAAAACCGCUCUCAGUUCGGAUUGCAGUCUGCAACUCGACUGCAUGAAGCUGGAAUCGCUAGUAAUCGCGGAUCAGAACGCCGCGGUGAAUACGUUCCCGGGCCUUGUACACACCGCCCGU